AUUUCCUUCGAGGUGGCCUUUACAUCCCUUUGACAUAUCUGUGAUUACUUUACAGCUCUCCACUGUAACUGUUUCACCUGCUGCUUCUUUCUCUGCUAUUUUCCAGUUCCGGACUUACUCACCGGCACGAUUCCUCACGAUUAUCCCUAAAAUACCACUUAAAGCGGGAACAUGGAGCGAACAAUAGCAGCUGUCAGUAAUGGGAAUGGAAUACUCGAAAUCUGAGAAAAAAACAAACGUAGGAAAUAAAAGCCAGAUUCGUGCUUUCAUUUGGAGCUUUUGGACGUCCCCAAAGAAAACAUCAAGGCGGUGAUGCCUCAAUAUUUUUAACUGAUCUGUGAUAUAAUCUACAAGGAAGUGAUGAAAUCCCCAAAUGAUCUGAUUUGGAAAUCUGCUUUUGCCAGAGAGUGCUGCAAACUGAAAGAGCUCACUAAGCCCUUGAUGAAAUCACAGAAAAUGAUAUUUCCAUAAGCACUGAAUACAAGACUCAUCUUGGAGCAGUACUUACUUCUUCACCAUCAGUCCUGUUGUCGCCAAGUUAACAGGGGGAAGUGUCCAAAAUAAUUUCAACGUGACCGAGUGAUCAGCCACAAAAGGUAAAAAUACCAAACCUGGAUCGACGUGUGAACAAUGCAGGUAUUGUUCUCUGUGGGAUAAUCCUGUUUAGCCUUUUGAGGGGCUCACAUAAAUUAGAGAACGGGGAAAGUUAUAUGAUGUUGGGGGUCACAAGCUGGCAUGUAAGCCACCUCUUCAUAAUAUUAGCACUAGGACCCCAGGAUAUUAUCGCCCUUCGCUGGGCUGUCUGCCGCUGUGCUCUGUACCCGGCCCUGCAGGAGGAAAAAAAAACAAUGUCUAGUUUAGGCAGUUGUUACUUUUUUUCACCCUUCAAGUGUUUUUUCAAAGACGCAGCCUUCCAUAGAAUCCCCCUCUGUGUUGAGUAGUGAUUUACAUAAUCCGAUUUGGGGGGAUUAUUUUGAGUCCCUGAAAAACGGCCACACUGGGCCUGAUCUGAAUUCCAGCUAUUCACUGCGCCUGCUACACUUCCAAGAGGCUGCACCUGCACUGGUAGUCACCUCUCCUCUCGGGCCUGAAUACUCGGCAGCCCACCACACAAUGCCUCCAGUGCAUUUAAUUGAUCCAUCGGAGUUACGCUCAAGAUGAUGGAAAAUGAAAGUCAGGCCAGUUAGUCUUAUCCAACGGGUCAUCGGUUUCUGAAAAGGCCUGAUCUCACAUCGGGGUGCUCUAACCCCCCCACCUCCCACAACACACACACACACUCCCACUCCCUGCAGUCCGAUCGCUUCCCUCACACCUCAUCCCAAGAAUAUUCCUCGACUGGGGAGGCACACACGCUCCGGAUAGCCUGUGCAGUGAUUCACUAAGCCUUAGCAUCACAUUUUAAACGUCUUUCUUCUGUUUUUAGGAUUUCCCACAACUUCUGCUGCCCCGCUGAAGCUGAAAAACAUAAACUGAGCAUGAUAUUACAUGUUGUUUACUGCAAAGGCAUUAUUUCAAAUACGGAACAAAGAUUUUGUUUUGUGCCUCUUUUAAAUGAACUAGGUUUUUUUUUAAC
Non-coding RNA from Lepisosteus oculatus (spotted gar), 1573 nucleotides. NCBI's taxonomy places the organism in Eukaryota, Metazoa, Chordata, Actinopteri, Semionotiformes, Lepisosteidae. The record is from RefSeq and is a predicted model, not a curated record.